This 255-nucleotide ribosomal RNA is filed under the name Clostridioides difficile. RNAcentral describes it as "partial 23S ribosomal RNA". It matches the Rfam family "Bacterial large subunit ribosomal RNA", at positions 1714 to 1980 of the family's 2925-position model. The record is from RNAcentral. Lineage: Bacteria; Bacillati; Bacillota; Clostridia; Peptostreptococcales; Peptostreptococcaceae.
UCGGCAAAAUGACCCCGUAACUUAGGGAUAAGGGGUGCCACCAUCCGGUGGCCGCAGAGAAUAGGCCCAAGCGACUGUUUACCAAAAACAUAGGUUUCUGCUAAGUCGCAAGACGAUGUAUAGGAGCGGACGCCUGCCCGGUGCUGGAAGGUUAAGGGGAUCUGUUAGAGCAAUCGAAGCAGUGAACUUAAGCCCCAGUAAACGGCGGCCGUAACUAUAACGGUCCUAAGGUAGCGAAAUUCCUUGUCGGGUAAG